This 433-nucleotide ribosomal RNA is filed under the name uncultured bacterium. RNAcentral describes it as "partial 16S ribosomal RNA". It matches the Rfam family "Bacterial small subunit ribosomal RNA", at positions 29 to 507 of the family's 1533-position model. The record is from RNAcentral.
AACGAACGCUGGCGGCAUGCCUAACACAUGCAAGUCGAACGAGACCUUCGGGUCUAGUGGCGCACGGGUGCGUAACGCGUGGGAACCUGCCCUUAGGUUCGGAAUAACUCCCCGAAAGGGGUGCUAAUACCGGAUAAUGCCUCCGGACCAAAGAUUUAUCGCAUUUGGAUGGGCCCGCGUUGGAUUAGCUAGUUGGUAGGGUAAAAGCCUACCAAGGCGACGAUCCAUAGCUGGUCUGAGAGGAUGAUCAGCCACACUGGGACUGAGACACGGCCCAGACUCCUACGGGAGGCAGCAGUGGGGAAUAUUGGACAAUGGGCAAAAGCCUGAUCCAGCAAUGCCGCGUGAAUGAUGAAGGCCUUAGGGUUGUAAAGCUCUUUUACCCGGGAUGAUAAUGACAGUACCGGGAGAAUAAGCGCCGGCUAACUCCGUG